Molecule: ribosomal RNA, 465 nt
Filed under: uncultured bacterium
Lineage: Bacteria
Description: partial 16S ribosomal RNA
Rfam family: Bacterial small subunit ribosomal RNA
Source: RNAcentral
GACGAACGCUGGCGGCGUGCUUAACACAUGCAAGUCGUACGGUAAGGCCCUUUCGGGGGUUCACGGGUGGCGAACGGGUGCGUAACACGUGAGUAACCUGACCACACCUUUGGGAUAACGCUAGGAAACUGGUACUAAUACUGGAUAUGUGCACCUGCUGCAUGGUGGGGGUUGGAAAGCUCCGGCGGUUGUGGAUGGAAUCGCGGCCUAUCAGCUUGUUGGUGGGGUAGUGGCGUACCGAGGCGGCGACGGGUAGCCGGCCUGAGGGGGUGACCGGCCACAUUGGGACUGAGAUACGGCCGAGACUCCGACGGGAGGGAGCAGGGGGGAAUAUUGCACAAGGGGCGCAAGCCUGAUGCAGCAACGCCGCGUGCGGGAUGACGGCCUUCGGGUUGUAAACCGCUUUCAGCAGGGACGAAGCUUUUUGUGACGGUACCUGCAGAAGAAGCACCGGCUAACUACGUG